AGAAGCAUCAUAUAGGAAGAAGUAUGGGGGUAGUUUCUCCAAAAGGAAGGAGGGGGAAACUAAUUCAGUAACUGUGGGGAGGCAGAGGAGGCCUCAUGUCAGAAAGAGUUCUCAACCCUGUCAACAUCAACAUCAAGUUUCAUCAGUGAUCCCUGUAUUUUCCAACAAUUCCAACAACCAAUUAGUUCUGAUUCAACAAC
RNAcentral lists this long non-coding RNA (200 nucleotides) under Lathyrus oleraceus (garden pea). RNAcentral's name for it is "Pisum sativum (pea) long non-coding RNA (PSAT_LNC005709)". Lineage: Eukaryota; Viridiplantae; Streptophyta; Magnoliopsida; Fabales; Fabaceae. The record is from RNAcentral.